Molecule: unclassified non-coding RNA, 389 nt
Filed under: plant metagenome
Description: partial contains 5.8S ribosomal RNA, internal transcribed spacer 2, and large subunit ribosomal RNA
Rfam family: 5.8S ribosomal RNA (bases 1-105)
Source: RNAcentral
GAAAUGCGAUACGUAGUGUGAAUUGCAGAAUUCCGUGAACCAUCGAAUCUUUGAACGCAUAUUGCGCUCGAGCCCUCGGGCAAGAGCAUGUCUGCCUCAGCGUCGGUUUACACCCUCACCCCUCCCACUUUUGUUGGGUGUGUUGGCUUCUAUGCCAGCCAUAGGGGUGGAUCUGGCUUCCCCAAUUCGCUGUAGUGGAUUGGGUUGGCUGAAGUAUAGAGGCUUAAGCAAGGACCCGAUAUGGGCUUCAACUGGAUAGGUAGCACCGGCUUCGCCGACUACACGAAGUUGUUGCUUGUGGAUCUUGCUAGAGGCCAAGCAGGAACGUGCCUUUGGCAUGUCUAAACUUUCGACCUGAGCUCAGGCAAGGCUACCCGCUGAACUUAAGC